UGACGUCAAAUCAUCAUGGCCUUUAUGCCCAGGGCUACACAACUGUGCUACAAUGGUAGGUACAAGCGGGAAGCGAAGCGGUGACGUGGAGCAAAUCCCUGAAAACCUAUCCCAGAUUCGGAUUGAAGUCUGGAACUCGACUUCAUGAAGGUGGAAUCGCUAGUAAUCGCGCAUCAGCCAUGGCGCGGUGAAUACGUUCCCGGACCUUGUACACACCGCCCGU
RNAcentral lists this ribosomal RNA (223 nucleotides) under uncultured bacterium. RNAcentral's name for it is "partial 16S ribosomal RNA". It matches the Rfam family "Bacterial small subunit ribosomal RNA", at positions 1180 to 1397 of the family's 1533-position model. The record is from RNAcentral.